RNAcentral lists this unclassified non-coding RNA (220 nucleotides) under plant metagenome. RNAcentral describes it as "partial contains small subunit ribosomal RNA, internal transcribed spacer 1, and 5.8S ribosomal RNA". The record is from RNAcentral.
UUUCCGUAGGUGAACCAGCGGAAGGAUCAUUACAGAGAUCGUGCCCUUCGGGGUAGACCUCCCACCCUGUGUUAUUUACGUAUGCUGCUUUGGCGGGCCGCCUCCGGGCUCUCGGCUUCGGCCGAGGUGUGCCCGCCAGAGAACCCACAACCCUGUGUUUAGUGUCGUCUGAGUAUUAUCAAAUAAGUUAAAACUUUCAACAACGGAUCCCUUGGUUCUG